UACGAAGGGGGCUAGCGUUGCUCGGAAUCACUGGGCGUAAAGGGUGCGUAGGCGGGUCUUUAAGUCAGGGGUGAAAUCCUGGAGCUCAACUCCAGAACUGCCUUUGAUACUGAGGAUCUUGAGUCCGGGAGAGGUGAGUGGAACUGCGAGUGUAGAGGUGAAAUUCGUAGAUAUUCGCAAGAACACCCGUGGCGAAGGCGGUUCUCUGGGACGGUACUGACGCUGAGACGCGAAAGCGUGGGGAGCGAACAGG
Molecule: ribosomal RNA, 253 nt
Filed under: uncultured bacterium
Lineage: Bacteria
Description: partial 16S ribosomal RNA
Rfam family: Bacterial small subunit ribosomal RNA
Source: RNAcentral